Molecule: ribosomal RNA, 775 nt
Filed under: uncultured Neocallimastigales
Lineage: Eukaryota; Fungi; Neocallimastigomycota; Neocallimastigomycetes; Neocallimastigales
Description: partial large subunit ribosomal RNA
Rfam family: Eukaryotic large subunit ribosomal RNA
Source: RNAcentral
UAUCUCUGUAGAGUCUGCAUAUCAAUAAGCGGAGGAAAAGAAACUAACUAGGAUUCCCUCAGUAACGGCGAGUGAAGCGGGAAGAGCUCAAAUUUGAAAUCUUCAAGGUUCUACCUUGACGAAUUGUAGUUUAAAGAAGUGUUUUCUGUUGGAGUUUUGGUAAAAGUUCUUUGGAAUAGGACAUCAUAGAGGGUGAGAAUCCCGUAUUUGACCAUUAUUUCCAACUUUGUGAUACACUUUCAAAGAGUCGGAUUGUUUGGGAAUGCAGUCCAAAAUGGGUGGUAAAUUUCAUCUAAAGCUAAAUAUUGGCGAGAGACCGAUAGCGAACAAGUACCGUGAGGGAAAGAUGAAAAGAACUUUGAAAAGAGAGUUAAACAGUACGUGAAAUUGUCAAAAGGGAAGCGUUUGACACCAGUGUUGUUUUCUCGAAAAUCAAUUAAAAAAGAUUGGAUUUUGUGUUGUAUUGACUUUAUCAGCUUUCAGCACUCUUUUUCUUGUCUUUUUUAAUGCACUUUUCGUUUAACAAGUCAACAUCAAUUUCUUUUGUUGUAAAAGGGUCAUUGGAAGGUGGCUUUCUUUUCGGAGAAAGUGUUUAUAGCCUUUGGCCUCUGCAAUCGGAGAGAUUGAGGUCUGCAGCGUAGAUCCUUCGGGGUUAGAUGCAUUUGUGCUAAGUUACAGCCUUUCAUAGACAACUUGUUGACUAUGAUCAGUCAUGUAGCUUACUCGCUUAUGCUAUUUUACCUACGCUUAGGAUGUUGAUCUCUCACAGUCGAGC